UUCCCUCCUCUCUCUCUAUCUUAAAGGAAAAAAAAUAAAAAAAAAUUCAAAGCUAAGCGAGAGAAUUCAUUAGUUUUUGAAAAAAGAUUUAAGAGAAAAAAUCGAUUUUGAUUCGAUUAGUCACCAUCAGAUCCCACCUCCACCAGCGAUUGCCAUGUACUCAACAUCCACUGCUCAAUCCCUUCCUCUCCUCGCCUUUAUUUCCCUCCUUCUCCUCUCUCCUGCUCUCACCUUCGACGCAGAUCACAGGGAUUUAAAUGUUAGGUUGAUUGGUGUUCAUGGAUCGAGUUUUGAUUUUGUAAAUGGCAGUUGAUGCAUUACAAAUGCCGGGUCUCGUCCGGGUUUGCCCGGGUCACCCGGGUCAUGGGUUGACCCGCCGGGUCGACCGGGUUUUGCCGGGUCGUUGCACCGGCCGGUCUUUUAACAAACCCGAACCGGUCCAGACACCGGGUCGACCCGCCGGUCCGGUCCGGGUUUAAUAACUAUGGUGGUGAGAUGUAAGAGUUGUUUGGAAACACGUUUCUUAAAAAAUUGAUUUUUUUUAAAAAAAUAU
Long non-coding RNA from Populus trichocarpa (black cottonwood), 553 nucleotides. RefSeq lists it as uncharacterized. The transcript is spliced from 2 exons. Lineage: Eukaryota; Viridiplantae; Streptophyta; Magnoliopsida; Malpighiales; Salicaceae. The record is from RefSeq and is a predicted model, not a curated record.